RNAcentral lists this long non-coding RNA (218 nucleotides) under Ursus americanus (American black bear). RNAcentral describes it as "lncRNA (ENSUAMG00000012587.1)". Lineage: Eukaryota; Metazoa; Chordata; Mammalia; Carnivora; Ursidae. The record is from RNAcentral.
CUUUGAGAAAGCUGAAGCGAUCAGCACCCUGAUUAACCUCUGAUAUUCACGUGGUGCUCUUGAUCUUGAGGACUGCAGCAGUAACAAAGCGGUUUGGUGUGGAGAUUACUGGUGAAGAGUUUGAGUUGCUACUUGACAGAAUCCCCCUUGAUGAAGAUGGAAAUGUCAGAUGCCUCCAAUUCACGGCCAUGUUGGAUUCUCGAAGUUAUUUAAAAUAA